RNAcentral lists this ribosomal RNA (497 nucleotides) under uncultured bacterium. RNAcentral describes it as "partial 16S ribosomal RNA". It matches the Rfam family "Bacterial small subunit ribosomal RNA", at positions 28 to 507 of the family's 1533-position model. The record is from RNAcentral.
GAUGAACGCUGGCGGCGUGCCUAAUACAUGCAAGUCGAGCGAACAGAUGAGGAGCUUGCUCCUCUGACGUUAGCGGCGGACGGGUGAGUAACACGUGGAUAACCUACCUAUAAGACUGGGAUAACUUCGGGAAACCGGAGCUAAUACCGGAUAAUAUAUUGAACCGCAUGGUUCAAUAGUGAAAGACGGUUUUGCUGUCACUUAUAGAUGGAUCCGCGCCGCAUUAGCUAGUUGGUAAGGUAACGGCUUACCCAGGCAACGAUGCGUAGCCGACCUGAGAGGGUGAUAGGACACACUGGAACUGAGACACGGUGCAGACUCCUACGGGAGGCAGCAGUAGGGAAUCUUCCGCAAUGGGCGAAAGCUUGACGGAGCAACGCCGCGUGAGUGAUGAAGGUCUUCGGAUCGUAAAACUCUGUUAUUAGGGAAGAACAAAUGUGUAAGUAACUAUGCACGUCUUGACGGUACCUAAUCAGAAAGCCACGGCUAACUACGUG